GAAUGCGCCUUCACUUCCCGCUUGGUGUACUCAGGAUAUGCUAACAUGAACGAAAAGGAUUGAGGAUUUUUAUCAUAUAAUUAAAAAUUACAAUUUUCGUCAUUAAAUAUUGCCCCCUCCCCCAACAUUGUUUAGGGGGAAGGGGGUUAUUUUAAGAGAAUUCCAAAAUAUUUCAUCUCAGAAUAUUCAUCCUUCAUUAGCACUCAAAAGUUUCCAAUAUUUUUGUUUGAUGUUUUUAUUGUUAAUUUUAGUGUAAAAGUAUUUAAAAAUACCAGAGGUAAAGUAGGGAAAUAGCACAAUCCUUACAAACUCCUUACGAACGCACAAUUUAUUACUUCCUUACAAACUCCACUUACUUUCAGUGAAACAUAAUUAUUCUACACAAAGUUGAGUGUAUAGCCCUCUGAGCAACAGAAGAUUAAUUCGACACUAGAGUAUUACAACUCAUUGUCAACAUUUUUUUAUUUUAUUACACCAAUGAUAGUUAAGAGGGUUUUGAUGUCCACCCUACCCAUGGAGAUUGCUUAGGGAGUAUGGUUCUUCCAAUUGAUUUCUAAUAUGUUAUGUUUACAAAAUUACCUAGCGUCAACAGUGCCAUUUCUAACCACCAAGGGAUGGAGGCCGCUUAAUGAAACAGAAGGACAUUUUGGAACAACAUAUACUCCUCCAGUUCAAAACAGGGCAGCCUAUAUAAAUUAUAUUUUGGUUUCCUUGUCAGUCACAUUAAUCAUAGCCUUUAUUUUUGCUGGUGGUUGUUACUGUAAAAAG
Molecule: long non-coding RNA, 768 nt
Organism: Actinia tenebrosa (Australian red waratah sea anemone)
Lineage: Eukaryota; Metazoa; Cnidaria; Anthozoa; Actiniaria; Actiniidae
Source: RefSeq, a predicted model, not a curated record